AACGAACGCUGGCGGCAGGCCUAACACAUGCAAGUCGAACGCCCCUUACGGGGAGUGGCAGACGGGUGAGUAACGCGUGGGAAUCUACCCAUCUCUACGGAAUAACUCAGGGAAACUUAUGCUAAUACCGUAUACGCCCUUCGGGGGAAAGAUUUAUCGGAGAUGGAUGAGCCCGCGUUGGAUUAGCUAGUUGGUGGGGUAAAGGCCUACCAAGGCGACGAUCCAUAGCUGGUCUGAGAGGAUGAUCAGCCACAUUGGGACUGAGACACGGCCCAAACUCCUACGGGAGGCAGCAGUGGGGAAUAUUGGACAAUGGGCGCAAGCCUGAUCCAGCCAUGCCGCGUGAGUGAUGAAGGCCCUAGGGUUGUAAAGCUCUUUCACCGAUGAAGAUAAUGACUGUAGUCGGAGAAGAAGCCCCGGCUAACUUCGUGCCAGCCGCCGCGGUAA
Molecule: ribosomal RNA, 447 nt
Filed under: uncultured bacterium
Lineage: Bacteria
Description: partial 16S ribosomal RNA
Rfam family: Bacterial small subunit ribosomal RNA
Source: RNAcentral